UUCAUGCACUCUUCACCAUAUCUAGAACAUCCCACAUAAGGAUCAAAGAAUCAAGUUAGGUAGUGAACCAAAAUAUGGAUUCAUGUACAUAAGGUACCAUGAUGACCUCAGGUCUAAGGAUCACUUACACAACUCCUACUAGAGAAUCAUCAGUUGACAUAUAAAUAAAACUUUAUCUGAUAUUCUCUCAUAGGUCAAUUCAAUGAACUCAUUUUCUAAUGAGCACCCAUAUUCUUGUAUUAGUAUCAUCACACAAGCGGUUGUGAGAUCAACCACCCCC
RNAcentral lists this long non-coding RNA (280 nucleotides) under Elaeis guineensis (African oil palm). RNAcentral's name for it is "long non-coding RNA (EGUI_LNC050276)". Lineage: Eukaryota; Viridiplantae; Streptophyta; Magnoliopsida; Arecales; Arecaceae. The record is from RNAcentral.